Molecule: transfer RNA, 72 nt
Filed under: Bos taurus (domestic cattle)
Lineage: Eukaryota; Metazoa; Chordata; Mammalia; Artiodactyla; Bovidae
Also listed under: 1 other name
Rfam family: tRNA
About the family: Transfer RNA (tRNA) molecules are approximately 80 nucleotides in length. Their secondary structure includes four short double-helical elements and three loops (D, anti-codon, and T loops). Further hydrogen bonds mediate the characteristic L-shaped molecular structure. tRNAs have two regions of fundamental functional importance: the anti-codon, which is responsible for specific mRNA codon recognition, and the 3' end, to which the tRNAs corresponding amino acid is attached (by aminoacyl-tRNA synthetases). tRNAs cope with the degeneracy of the genetic code in two manners: having more than one tRNA (with a specific anti-codon) for a particular amino acid; and 'wobble' base-pairing, i.e. permitting non-standard base-pairing at the 3rd anti-codon position.
Source: Rfam by way of RNAcentral
UCCCUGGUGGCUUAGAGGUUAAAGCGCCUGCCUGGAAUGCGGGAAACCUGGGUUCAAUCCCCGGGUCGGGAA